This 29-nucleotide non-coding RNA is filed under the name Mus musculus (house mouse). Lineage: Eukaryota; Metazoa; Chordata; Mammalia; Rodentia; Muridae. The record is from RNAcentral.
UGGCUUCUUUGUGGUUAUCUAUUCCCUAA